AAGUCUUUACAGAUGAACUUUAUUGCCUCCAGAUGAUCACUAAACCAUGGCCGCUCCAUGGUAUACCGUUCCGCGAGCUGGCGGCCGACCUGAUAGCCAAUAGCCUCGAUCCGACGGCCAGUAAGCUCAGGUUUUUUGGCGUCGAAGCGAUUACAGUAUGAUGACACCAUCUCCGUGAGUAGGCUAUCAAUGCAACUCUCUGACACUUCUCUUCCCAUCUCUCUCUCUCUUUCUCUCUGUGCGAAAAGUGAAUUGGCCACAGUUAAUUCUGCUCUCCCCUAUCUGUGAUCUCCUCCUUGACGAAAAUGUGCAGGUCUUCGUCUUUUGGGCAUUAGUCUUAGGCUGUAUCCGAUUAAGGCCACGGCUUCAACUG
This 373-nucleotide unclassified non-coding RNA is filed under the name Hevea brasiliensis (rubber tree). The record is from RNAcentral. Lineage: Eukaryota; Viridiplantae; Streptophyta; Magnoliopsida; Malpighiales; Euphorbiaceae.